Molecule: ribosomal RNA, 173 nt
Filed under: uncultured bacterium
Lineage: Bacteria
Description: partial 16S ribosomal RNA
Rfam family: Bacterial small subunit ribosomal RNA
Source: RNAcentral
CUCCUACGGGAGACAGCAGUGGGGAAUUUUGCGCAAUGGGGGAAACCCUGACGCAGCAACGCCGCGUGGAGGAUGAAGUCCCUUGGGACGUAAACUCCUUUCGAUCGGGACGAUAAUGACGGUACCUGCAGAAGAAGCACCGGCCAACUACGUGCCAGCCGCCGCGGUAAUAC